AUUGUGCCAGCGGCCGCGGUAAUACGUAGGGUGCAAGCGUUAAUCGGAAUUACUGGGCGUAAAGCGUGCGCAGGCGGUGAUGUAAGACAGAGGUGAAAUCCCCGGGCUCAACCUGGGAACUGCCUUUGUGACUGCAUCGCUGGAGUGCGGCAGAGGGGGAUGGAAUUCCGCGUGUAGCAGUGAAAUGCGUAGAGAUGUGGAGGAACACCAAUGGCGAAGGCAGCCCCCUGGGUCGAUACUGACGCUCAUGCACGAAAGCGUGGGUAGCAAACAGGAUUAGAUACCCUGGUAGUCCACGCCCUAAACGAUGUCAACUAGGUGUUGGGUGGGUAAAACCAUUUAGUACCGUAGCUAACGCGUGAAGUUGACCGCCUGGGGAGUACGGCCGCAAGGUUAAAACUCAAAGGAAUUGCGGGGAAGCUGCAGCAGCGGUGGAAUAUGUGGUUUAAUUUGAUAUAACGCAAAAAACCUUACCAAUUCUUGAAUUGCAAAAGAGUUUGUUUUGUUUAAAACAAAAAGUCAUUAGUUGUUAAUGCUAUAAUACUUUUGUACAGGUGUUGCAUGGCUGUCGUCAGUUCGUGUUGUGAGAUGUAUGGUUAAUUCCUUCAACGGGCGUAACCCUUGCGUACACAAAAUUUAUAGAGUGUAUGGACGGUCGACGAAACGUAGGAGGAAGGUGGGGAUGACGUCAGGUCAUCAUGGCCCUUAUGGGUAGGGCUACACACGUCAUACAAUGGCCGGGACAGAGGGCUGCCAACCCGCGAGGGGGAGCUAAUCCCAGAAACCCGGUCGUAGUCCGGAUCGUAGUCUGCAACUCGACUGCGUGAAGUCGGAAUCGCUAGUAGUCGCGGAUCAGCUUGCCGCGGUGAAUACGUUCCCGGGUCUUGUACACACCGCCCGUCACACCAUGGGAGCGGGUUCUGCCAGAAGUAGUUAGCCUAACCGCAAGGAGGGCGAUUACCACGGCAGGGUUCGUGACUGGGGUGAAGUCGUAACAAGGUAACCAAU
RNAcentral lists this ribosomal RNA (1008 nucleotides) under uncultured bacterium. Its description in RNAcentral is "bacterial SSU rRNA". It matches the Rfam family "Bacterial small subunit ribosomal RNA", at positions 502 to 1504 of the family's 1533-position model. The record is from RNAcentral.